UUUUGGCUUCACUGUGGGUGUCAGCUUAUAGACAGUGUUUAGCACAUGAGCAGAGCAAAACAAAGAAGAUAUUUGUUCUAUUGUCUUCGGUUCCACUAAGAGGAGGAACUAAAAUAUACCACAUUUUUUACCUUAUGCCCCAUUUUGUUGUAUUUUUAACAGGGAAAAACUGUUCAGUACGAAAUAAGAGAUACUUGCACGAAACCAAAAAAAUAACAUGUUUCCCUUUUUAAAAGUGGUAGUUUUACUAUAACCCAUGACCCUGUGAUUUCUGUCAAAGGCCUAUUUACUAUAUAAUCUAAUCUUUCGUACUGAUUUCAUGCAAAACAAAUAGCAAAACUCUUUUUAAUAUGUAUCAAUUACAAAACAGAACCCGUAUGUUAUGCUUUAUCUUAUUUUAACUUGUCAUCCAAACACUAGUAAACUACCAUAAUGUCUGUUUUUAAGGGGGUCGGGGUGCAACUGUUCAAGUGGUUACCUUUUUGCCUCUAAUUUGGUCCCCCUUCCAAGUUCCGCCUACUGUUUGGUCGAAAUGAAAUCCAUUUUUAGGGAGUUGUCGGGAGGGUGCAAAGGCUUCUCUUCAACCUUUUUGGCCCCUCCUCCACCUAUUGUUUGGAUGAAAGUUUUUUUCUCCUAUAUCCUCUUCUUUACUUGCUUAUAGCUAUCUAAGUUUCCCCGUUUUUAUUUAUUGAGCUUUGUUCUCUCCCAAACUCCUUUUUCACUUCAAUUUUGCAAUUGGUUUCGCAGUGUUUAUGAUGGCAACAAGAAAAUAUAUAUUUUCUUUUAUUUGAUUAGAUUUAAGAGAAUAUUUUACCCAUUCAUGUGCCUUUUCUUUGUCUCGUUGAUACAAUUUUCUUCUAUCAAAAGAACAAAAAAAAAAGAAGAUAAUAACUCAAUUUUUUUGCUCUUUUGAAUAUAUUGAGGAGAAAAAAAUAAUCAGGGAAACAUUUAAUAUAUUUACGUUUUGUUUUGACAUCACAGGCAAUUGAAGCAGCAAUUGAACUCAAUCUUAAAACAGUAGAAGCAGG
This 1028-nucleotide long non-coding RNA is filed under the name Trifolium pratense (red clover). RNAcentral's name for it is "long non-coding RNA (TPRA_LNC007774)". The record is from RNAcentral. Lineage: Eukaryota; Viridiplantae; Streptophyta; Magnoliopsida; Fabales; Fabaceae.